AGCUAGUUGGUAGGGUAAAGGCCUACCAAGGCUUCGAUCAGUAGCUGGUCUGAGAGGAUGAUCAGCCACACUGGGACUGAGACACGGCCCAGACUCCUACGGGAGGCAGCAGUGGGGAAUUUUCCGCAAUGGGCGAAAGCCUGACGGAGCAACGCCGCGUGAGGGAUGAAGGCCUCUGGGCUGUAAACCUCUUUUAUCAAGGAAGAAGAUCUGACGGUACUUGAUGAAUAAGCCACGGCUAAUUCCGUGCCAGCAGCCGCGGUAAUACGGGAGUGGCAAGCGUUAUCCGGAAUUAUUGGGCAUAAAGCGUCCGCAGGCGGUCUUACAAGUCUGUCGUUAAAGCGUGGAGCUUAACUCCAUUUCAGCGAUGGAAACUGUAAGACUAGAGUGUGGUAGGGGCAGAGGGAAUUCCCGGUGUAGCGGUGAAAUGCGUAGAUAUCGGGAAGAACACCAGUGGCGAAGGCGCUCUGCUGGGCCAUAACUGACGCUCAUGGACGAAAGCCAGGGGAGCGAAAGGGAUUAGAUACCCCUGUAGUCCUGGCCGUAAACGAUGAACACUAGGUGUCGGGGGAAUCGACCCCCUCGGUGUCGUAGCCAACGCGUUAAGUGUUCCGCCUGGGGAGUACGCACGCAAGUGUGAAACUCAAAGGAAUUGACGGGGGCCCGCACAAGCGGUGGAGUAUGUGGUUUAAUUCGAUGCAACGCGAAGAACCUUACCUGGGCUAGACAUGCAGCUGCAGUCCCGAUGAAAGUUGGGAUGCCUUCGAGGGUGCUGCACAGGUGCUGCAUGGCUGUCGUCAGUUCGUGCCGUGAGGUGUUUGGUUAAGUCCAGCAACGAACGCAACCCCUGUGUCUAGUUGCCACCCCCGGUGAUGAAUCGGGGAGCACUUUAGACAGACUGCCCGUGUAAGCGGGAGGAAGGUGGGGAUGACGUCAAGUCAGUAUGGCCCUUACGCCCAGGGCUGCACACGUGCUACAAUGGGAGCUACAGAAGGAUGCAAGACCGCGAGGUGGAGCAAAUCCUGAAAAGCUUCCUCAGUUCAGAUUGAAGUCUGCAACUCGACUUCAUGAAGUCGGAUUCGCUAGUAACGGCGUAUCAGCUACGGCGCCGUGAAUACGUUCCCGGGCCUUGUACACACCGCCCGUCACAUCAUGAAAGCCGUCUGCACCCGAAGUCACUGAUUCAACCCGCAAGGGGGAUAGGUGCCGAAGGUGUGGGUGGUGAUUGGGAUGAAGUCGUAACAAGGUAGCCGUAGGGGAACCUGUGGCUG
RNAcentral lists this ribosomal RNA (1271 nucleotides) under metagenome. RNAcentral describes it as "bacterial SSU rRNA". It matches the Rfam family "Bacterial small subunit ribosomal RNA", at positions 243 to 1520 of the family's 1533-position model. The record is from RNAcentral.